Scophthalmus maximus (turbot) is the source of this 2884-nucleotide long non-coding RNA. NCBI's taxonomy places the organism in Eukaryota, Metazoa, Chordata, Actinopteri, Pleuronectiformes, Scophthalmidae. The record is from Ensembl.
AACCAACAGAACUCCUGAAUACAAGACCCAGAAAGAGGAGAGACACAGGUGAUGAUGAUGAUGGUGGUGGUGAUGAUGAUGAUGAUGAUGACCCGGCUGUUCUUCCUCGAAUCCCCAACCCCAUUGCUUGUUUAUCCUCCGGUGACAUGCUCAUUUUCCAUCUCACCAUCAACCACACUGACCGCCAUUUGAGUCACUUCCCAGUGUAUCAAAAAGACCACCUGUUUAAUAGUAACCCCAGCUGGGACUUUGGUGCCUUCAGACAUUUGCAGAUGCUCAUGAAACAGACAAACUUUAACUCCACAAGGUAGAGUUGAGUCCGUAUGCUGUAGGUAGAACCUCAAGUUGUUAAUAAUUCAAAUGACACUUUGUGAAAGAGUAUGUCUUCGCCACAAAUGUCUGUUCCUUUCGCAGGUUUGCCCACGUCUUUCCAGAAACAGGCAAGUAUGUGUUUGUGGACAGUGCUGUCCCAGAGUGGAGUAUGGUGGUGGUGGUCAGUGAGGAGGGGACAGAGUGCGAUCCCAGGGCAUCAGUGUUUCAGCCAAUGUCCCCGGCACAUUUGGUCAGAUACGGGAUUGUCAAGCAGCACAGACUCAACCUUCUGCCGGACUGGGAAUUGAUAGCUGGGGUCCUGAGUCUGCUGCUGGUUGUGGUUGUAGUUCUGACUACCACAAUGCUGGUCCUGCGACCCAGCAAAGCAAGGCUCGUCUCGCAGUGGAGGAUGAAGCCAAAGUGGCGCAGUCUCGGGGAGCCCUUCUGUCCAGUGGAGUGUGUUUGCAAUGGAGACAGCAUGGCGGUCCCGAGCAUGGGGUGCGUCCUAGGCAGUCGGGGUGUAGGAGAAGGUGCAGAGGCUGAGGAACCUGCUGUUUCAAAGGGAGGAAGUCUAUCUGGGCUCUGUGAUUUAGAGGAGUUCAAUGUGAAAACUCUGUACGACAAACUGGAGGAUCAGAACCUCCACAUAGCCUCACAGCUGGCUCGACACCGCAAAGACACGCAGGAGUUCUACAGAAACAUUUGUCAACAGACUGAAACACUCAAGAAUGUCUUUGAUAAUAUGGAUCAUAAAAAACUGAGUCUCCUCAAAGAGCUUCUUGCCCAUAAUGCAAUGAGGGAUAAACUUUCUGACAGCGGAGUGGGAGAGAGAGAUGCACAAGCUGAGGCCUCUGUAGCAUUACUGGGAACUGUCCUCAGGUCUGUGGAAGCUCUGUUGUGUAGGCUGACAGGAGAAGCUUGGCAGAACCAGGAUUUGACUGGCCUCCCAUACUGUCAUACUGGUCCUCAUGAUGCCAGGGACUGUGAGCCACAUGCUGGAUACACACAACGCGGCGACAUCAACAUGUGUUACACACAGUUUUCAUCGAUGAAUAUGACCAAAGUGGAAGCUCUUGCCCGUGAGCCAGUCCAUCUACAGAGUGCAGCCCCUUGUCUAAGUGACCAUGAUCUAUCCAAGCUGGUCAGCAUAUCUCCUCUUUUCAAGACCCUGCAUGAGAUCCAGCAGUCAUUACAAAGUCUCUCCACAGCUGAGCCUAGUCAGCGUCUCCACAAUGCUUCAGAGCGUUCUGUCCAGGAAAACCAUGAUGGGCAACUCAUCCCAACUGCACUGGACGACCUCUCACCUCCACACGCUGCUGUUUUCCUUUUCGGUUGCCAGGUGGUGCAGCUACUUGAAAAACGCCCCCUGUUCCCCUCCGUGCUUUUGCUAGUGGCCAAGUCAAUCCCUGUUUCUCCAUCCUCCUCUGAUGAGGCCAUGCUGGCCCAUUGCUCGGGGGACUUCCAUUUUGACGCGACCAAUCAAAUCCUUUAUCUGUCCGAGGCAAAGCUUCAGCACGUGGGGCAUUUUAUCGCCAUCGUCCUGCAGUCCAUGGCCCACAUAGCGUCAGGUCCCAAACCCCAGGGCUUUAUGCGAGCUCUCCAUGAGGCCGUUUCAGCUCUUAGCCUUCAGCUGUUCAAUUUCUCUUUCAAAUGGAGCACAGCAGAGUCAAAAUCCAAUGCUUCAGCGGGGCAGCAUGGUGAAUUGGUUAAAGAAUUUCUCAACACCAGAGUUCCCACUGAGGCACAUUUCACUGAGCACCUGUUAGCUAGCAGACUUGAGAAAUACAAGUAUUUCAAGCUGGAGCAGCUCGUCUCUGACCUCCGGUCAGCCGAGGACACAGGCACAGGUUUGCCACCAAAAGGGACACCGACACAGAUAUCCUGUGUAGAGGAAGAAAUCGACCGCCUGAACGAGUCUUUCUUGCAGCUCAGCAUGCAGCUUCAGAAGAGAGCCCAGAUGAGCAGCUGGCACAAGGAGAGAGAGAGGAGUGCUGGGAACCAUUCUGCGCGGGCUAUGUCGACAAGCAACAAGCCAAGCCUGAGUUGUAAUGGAACAGUGCUGCUGGACCUGAAGAGGCGCUAUGUAUUACAGCGUCUUCGUGAGCUCCAAAUCAUAUUAAGCCACACCAGACAGUGCCAGCGGCAUGGCAGCGAGUCAAAAGAUGGGACGGGAGGCCGUAAACACACAGACAGCAGCAGCAUUCAGCAGGGACAGAGGGAGCAUUACUCUACCGCUGACGGCUGCUGCCCCACUGUCGGCCGGCAGCAGGACGGUAUGCCAGCAGGCCAAAGUCGCCGCCAACAAACCGUACUGAGCGAAGUUCUUGGGAACCAUAAACUUGAGGGUCAUAUAUCUGACCAGCAGUGGAGUGACUCUGUCCAGAGCAACAAGCCUGAGACACGACUGGACUGCCAGAUGCCGGCGAGCCAAGGUCAGCUGCAUUUAAAUGUGCCAGGAAUACCAGAACCUAACGGUCAGAUCACAAUAGAAAAUACAACUGCACAUACAGAUACUGACAACAUGUGGGCCCCUGUCGAUCGGAAACUGGAUCUGAAUAUGGAUAAAUGCUAA